CACAAUACUGCACAGUACUCCAAGCGUGCGAGCGGAUGCGAAUGGAAAUGCUAUAACGGGAACUGAUAGCAUAGCUGUUUUAUUGAGGCUUCAAAAGUUGGAUCUAAAGCCUACGAGUACGAACAAUCAAAAUGGCAUUUUGGUGCUGUAGAAAGAGGGGACGAAUGACAAGUUUGUGGUUAAAACUACUUGCAGCGUCCAUAAUAUUUGUGAGCAUAUAUUUCUUGGCCGGAGUUGGUCUCCGGGGUGAGAGAAAAUAUGAUAUUGUCAGAAGUUUUAUGUCUUUCGAACGAAGCAGUGAAGAUAAAAGGAAAUAUAUCAGUAACUUACUCAAAUUGCGUGGACCAUGGUUGGAUGCGAGUAGAAGUAACACAGCAGGAUCUGGAUGCGUUCAUCCAAAUUUACCACUCUGGACUGACCAACUUAAGAACUAUUUCAAACCGUGCGUUCCCGUGAAAUGUUCUGACGAUGUGAACUGGGUUUAUACAGAUAGUGGACGGUUUUAUAUUUCUUCGCAAGCCGAAAAGGUUGUAGGGAAAAUUGAAUGCGAGUUAACGCCGAUAGUAAACGAUGAAGACAACACUAAAUAUCUGGAAACAAUUAAAGAUGUUAAAAACGGAUCUGGUCUUGUAACGGAUACAUUUAAAUCCUCGUGUACAUCCUCAAGUGGAAAAAGUUACACAAAUAUUCAUGUCGGCAUUGCUGGAAGAAGCAAAACGAACGAACAACAGAAGCCCCCAAAUGCAAAAUACAAUGUAUUUAUGUACGGUUUCGAUUCAAUGUCGAGGAACAUGGUGAAACGAUUUUUACCUAAAACCCACGAAUUCUUUGUUAACGAGUUGGGAGGUCACAUUCUUAAUGAAUAUAACAUCGUUGGAGACGGUACCCCUCAAGCGUUAAUGCCGAUCUUGACCGGAAGAAAGGAGACGGAAAUCCCCGAAGUGCGACGAGGGCACACGAAUGCUAAGCCGGUUGAUGAAAUAUUGGAAUUCGUUUGGAAACGGUUCGAGAAACGAGGAUAUGUGACACAGUGGGGUGAGGAUAUGUCCUAUAUAGGGACAUUUACAUACAGAAUGCUUGGAUUUAAAGAACAGCCUGUUCACCAUUAUAUGAGACCAUAUCAAGUAGAAAUUGAAAAGCUUAAUAACAAGCGACAUUGUCACGGGAACAAGGGAACGCACACAGUUUUUCUUGAUUGGUUGAUGGAAUCGCUGAGAACUAACUUAGGCCUUCCGAUAUUUUCGUUUGGAUUCUUUUCGGAUUACACUCAUGAUGGAAGCGAGUGUGUGGGUCUAAUAGACGAUGGUAACGUGGCGAUGUUUAAAUACAUGAAAUCAUUAAAUCUCUUCAAGAACACGUUCAUAAUAUUGAUGAGUGAUCAUGGUGCAAGGUUCGGAGCGCUGAGACAAACCGAGCAAGGAAAGCUGGAGGAACGUAUGCCUUACUUCGGUAUAUUUGUUCCACCCGAUUUUCGAAAAGACCAUCCGAACAAGUACACCAAUUUUCUUGAAAGUGUUGAUCGCUUGACCACUCCUUUUGAUAUUUACGAGACACUUUUGGACAUUCUUGAAGAGACGAACACGUUUGAGCCAACCGACAGGAAAUCAUAUUCCCUCUUUUCCAAGAUCCCCAAACAGCGAAGCUGUUCUGAUGCUGGCAUCGAACCACACUGGUGUGCUUGCCUUAAUUGGCAAAACGUAUCCACGUCUGACAGCAUCGUGGCUGCACUCGCUGAACAUAUUGUUGAGUCAUUCAACAAGAUGCUUGCUAACUUCUCUCAUCUCUGCCACAAGCUUAUACUUCAACAGGUUAUUACGGCAGUUCAGUUGAUAUCCAAUGAUCAUGUAUUGAAAUUCAAACAAAGUAAGGACAAUGACGGGCGUAUUGCUGAUUUUUCUGAUAAUACAAAAUCUGAAUUACAGUAUUUCCAACUGAAAUUUGAAACGAUGCCUGGUGAAGGACGUUUCGAGGCUACCGUGUCAAUUGAUGUGAAGACUGGCAAAAUAUUUGUAGGAAAAUAUGAUAUCAGCAGAAUAAAUAAAUAUAACGACGCUCCGAAAUGCAUUGCUGACAAACAUCCUGAGCUACGGCCGUAUUGUGUUUGCAUUUAGUUUUGCAUAAAUGUAACGUUUUGCAACAUAUCAAAUACCAUGUAUUGCAAAAAGUAAACGUCGCUAUAAUCACCUACAAUCUAUCUGGGCAUAUUUGAGUGUGCUAUCGACUUAUCUUUUCAUGUGUUAAAGGGUCCUUUUCACAGAUUUUGGAAGAUAUUGAAGUUUGCAAUUAAAUGCUUUAUAUUAACAAAUGUAAACAUUGGAUCUAAGAAGCUCCAUUAAAAAAACACAAGAAUAAGAUAAAGAAAGUAAAAGAGUAACCCUCAACUGGAUCGAACCACUGACCUCUGGAGUAAAACUCUAACACUUGGACCACUCGGCCAUGCUUAUACAAUGAGUGAUGUAUUUUAUACUUUAUAAAAGCAAUCCUCGUAGUGUCACAAAACAUAACGAUUUAUAAUUUUCAGGUUUUUGAAUUGGCAAAAGAUGCAGAUAAUGGAUAUUUAUGAGCAUGGUAAAUGUUUAGUAUUACUGUUUCCUCAUAAAUAUCACAACUACAACGAAAAUUUGAGAACCUGAAACACUUUUUUUUUAUUUUGUCAAUUUAUCAAAACGUGAAAAAGCCCCUUUAAAUCAGCGUUGAUAAUGUCUGAAGAGUUUUUUCUGAUAACAUUUUGCAGAUUGAGAGUGUUCGCUUUUUUAACUUAUGCAGCGUUUUGGAUAAACUAGUGUCUAGCAAAACCAUCGUCGAUUUAAGCCACACACCUUGCCUCUGACUUUGAAAUGAAAUACAUGUUAAUCAAUACAUAUAGAUGCAGUUUGAAAGUGUGCAAAAUUGUCAUUAAAAUUAUAGCCUAGUUAGCAAGUAAUUUAUUAUUUUUCAAACGGUACCGCUUUUAAAACCGAAGGUAGGAUUUCUAGACGUACUCGUCCAUUUCGACAAACGCGAUUAGUUUUAAAGCGCAAAAAGACGGAUUUAUACCUUGUAACCACCAGAUAUAUUCUAAUUGGCAUAGAUAACAUAUGUUUCUUAUUUAUACUUAAAUUUACAAUGCCAAAUAAGGUGUGUGGCUUUAUCUUAUAGAUGAACAUGUUGGUUAUUUACACUCAGGCUUGAUAUUUCUGUUUCAGAUAAGGUCAUAAAUUCGUUUCUUUUUAAUAUGUUGGUAGUGUUUGCAUUGAGAGAAUUACGUUAGUGUUAAGAUUUGAGUAUAUAUUAAUAAAUGUAUUUUUAUAAGACCACUGCAAAAGUUGUCAGCCUAGAAAGGAAUUAUGAUAAUGGCAAUACUUUUAUUUAGUGAAAAGUUAAUAAAUUGACAUGUAAUAGACAUUUAUAGCAUAAGCAUUAUUUUUGCAUAUAUAUGUAAAUCAACAGUAUACAUUUGUGUGAAUUCGUUUUAUUUUUCUAUGUACUUACGGGCGUAAGCUGAUGCGUCAAUGUCUUUUAAAUUGUUUAUGUUAUCUUUUUGCAUUAGUUCUUUUAGGUUGUUAUGAAUUAAAUACUAUUUUUGUACUCAGAGCCUGAUUAUGUACAACUGUUAUAAGUGGAUUUCGUUAUCUCAUUGACAUUUGGUUUGUCUUUUCCCUGUCCUUGGCUUUCCUUCUUGCAUAAACUUCAAUUCGAACGAAAACUUCUAAAACGCUGAUAAGAUUUUCAUAAAACUUCUUAUCAACAAGCAAAUUCGUUGAAUCGCCAAGUUUCCUUAACUGUCAUUUAUAAGAAACGAUUCUCAUGUCUGCUGUUGAGUGAUGUUCAUUUUAUUUUGAUUUCGUGGUUUUAAGGAAGCAAGUGUGAAUAUGGAAUAUUACUGACAACGUAGGAUGGUACUCGCGGUAUACAGGAAUGUCGCGUGAUUUACAAGGUUGUACAAUGCCGCACUGGGCUUCAAGUGUGCGAGCGUAUGCGGAUGGAAAUGCGAUAAAGGGAACUAAUAGCUGUUUUAUCGAGGCUUCAAAAGUUGGAUCUAAAGCCUAACAGGUACGAACAAUCGAAAUGGCAUUUUGGUGCUGUAGAAUGAGAGGACGAAUGACACGUUUUUGGUUAAAACUAUUUGCAGCGUUCAUAAUAUUUGUGAGCAUAUAUUUCUUGGUAGGAGUUGGUGAGAGAAAAUAUGAUGUUGUCAGAAGUUUUAUGUCUUUCGAACGAAGCAGUGAAGAUAAAGGGAAAUAUAUCAGUAACUUACUAAAAUUGCGUGGACGAUUGUUCAAUGCGAGUAGAAGUAACACCACAGGAUCUGGAUGCGUUUACCACUCUGGACUGACCAACUUAAGAACUUUUUCAAACCGUGCGUUCCCGUGAAAUGUUCUGACGAUGUGAACUGGGUAUAUACAGAUAGUGGACGGUUUUAUAUUUCUUCGAAAGCCGAAAAGGUUGUAGGGAAAAUUGAAUGUGAGUUAACGCCGAUAGUAAACGAUGAAGACAAUACUACAUAUCUGGAAAUAAUAAAAGAUGUUAAAAACGGAUCUGGUAUUGUAACGGAUACAUUUAAAGCCUCGUGUAAAUCUUUAAGUGGAAAAAGGUACACAAAUAUUCAUGUCGGCAUCGCUAGAAGAACCAAAGCGCACGAACCACAGAAGCCCCCAAAUGCAAAAUAUAAUGUAUUUAUGUACGGUUUCGAUUCAAUGUCGAGAAACAUGGUGAAACGAUUUUUACCUAAAACCCACGAGUUCUUUGUUAACGAGUUAGGAGGUCACAUUCUUAAUGAGUACAACAUCGUUGGAGACGGCACACCUCAAGCGUUAAUGCCAAUCUUGACCGGAAGAAAGGAAACAGAAAUCCCCGAAGUGCGACGAGUGCACACGAAUGCUAAGCCCGUUGAUGAAAUAUUGGAGUUCGUUUGGAAACGGUUCGAGAAACGAGGAUAUGUGACACAGUGGGGCGAGGAUAUGUCCUAUAUAGGGACAUUUACAUACAGAAUGCUUGGAUUUAAAGAACAGCCUGUUCACCAUUAUAUGAGACCAUAUCAAGUAGAAAUUGAAAAGCUUAAUUACAAGCGACAUUGUCACGGGAACAAGGGAACUCACACAGUUUUUCUUGAUUGGUUGAUGGAAUCGCUGAGAACUAACUUAGGCCUUCCGAUAUUUUCGUUUGGAUUCUUUUCGGACUACACUUAUGACGGAAGCGAGUGUGUGGGUCUAAUAGACGAUGGAAACGUGGCGAUGUUUAAAUACAUGAAAUCAUUAAAUCUCUUCAAGAACACGUUCUUAAUAUUGAUGAGUGAUCAUGGUGCAAGGUUCGGAGCGCUAAGACAAACCGAGCAAGGAAAGCUGGAGGAACGUAUGCCUUACUUCGGUAUAUUUGUUCCACCCGAUUUUCGAAAAGACCAUCCGAACAAGUACACAAAUUUUCUUGAAAAUGUUGAUCGCCUGACCACUCCUUUUGAUAUUUACGAGACACUUUUGGACAUUCUUGAAGAGACGAACACGUUUGAGCCAACGGAUAGGAAAUCCUAUUCCCUGUUUUCCAAGAUCCCCAAUGAGCGAAGCUGUUCUGAUGCUGGCAUCGAACCACACUGGUGUGCUUGCCUUAAUUGGCAAAACGUAUCCACGUCUGACAGCAACGUGGAUGCACUCGCCAAACAUGUUGUUGACUCAUUCAACAAGAUGCUUGCUAACUUCUCGCAUCUCUGUCAUAAGCUUAAACUUCAACAGGUUAUUACGGCGGUUCAGUUGAUAUCUAAUGAUCAUGUAUUGAAAUUCAAACAAAGUAAGGACAACGACGGGCGUAUUGCUGAUUUUUCUGAUAACACAAAAUCUGAAUUACAGUAUUUCCAACUGAAAUUUGAAACGAUACCUGGUGAAGGACGUUUCGAGGCUACAGUGUCAAUUGAUGUGAAGACUGGCAAAAUAUUUGUAGCAGAAUAAAUAAAUAUAACGACACUCCGAAAUGCAUUGCUGACAAACAUCCUGAGCUACGGCCGUAUUGUGUUUGCAUUUAGUUUUGUAUAAAUGUAAUGUUGUAACAUAUCAAAUACCAUGUAUGGCAAACAGUAAACAUCGCUUUAAUCACCUACAA
Dreissena polymorpha is the source of this 6069-nucleotide RNA transcript. RefSeq lists it as uncharacterized. The transcript is spliced from 2 exons. NCBI's taxonomy places the organism in Eukaryota, Metazoa, Mollusca, Bivalvia, Myida, Dreissenidae. The record is from RefSeq and is a predicted model, not a curated record.